UACGGAGGAUGCGAGCGUUAUCCGGAUUUAUUGGGUUUAAAGGGUGCGUAGGCGGUCCGUUAAGUCAGCGGUAAAAUUGCGGGGCUCAACCCCGUCGAGCCGUUGAAACUGUCAGGCUUGAGUUGGCGAGAAGUACGCGGAAUGCGCGGUGUAGCGGUGAAAUGCAUAGAUAUCGCGCAGAACUCCGAUUGCGAAGGCAGCGUACCGGCGCCACACUGACGCUGAGGCACGAAAGCGUGGGGAUCGAACAGG
Molecule: ribosomal RNA, 252 nt
Filed under: uncultured bacterium
Lineage: Bacteria
Description: partial 16S ribosomal RNA
Rfam family: Bacterial small subunit ribosomal RNA
Source: RNAcentral